AUACCUUUCUCGGCCUUUUGGCUAAGAUCAAGUGUAGUAUCUGUUCUUAUCUAUUUGUUAGAUUAGAUCUACUGCGUGGGUACUCUUAUCCACCACCUCCUCCUUUCAUUCUGUCUAGAAAACGUGGUUUACCGUUCUUUAAACAAAUUCAUGGUAUAACAUGUUUUCUAUAUAGACAUACG
Molecule: non-coding RNA, 182 nt
Organism: Zea mays
Lineage: Eukaryota; Viridiplantae; Streptophyta; Magnoliopsida; Poales; Poaceae
Source: Rfam